GCUGGGCAUGGUGGUGCACUCAUGUAAUCCCAGCUACUAGAGAGGCAGAGGAGGGAGGAUUGUUUGAGCUCAGGAGUUUGAAGCCAGCCUGAGAACACAAUGAUAACCCAUCUAAA
RNAcentral lists this small RNA (116 nucleotides) under Marmota monax (woodchuck). Lineage: Eukaryota; Metazoa; Chordata; Mammalia; Rodentia; Sciuridae. The record is from RNAcentral.